RNAcentral lists this small RNA (2932 nucleotides) under Oryza sativa Japonica Group (Japanese rice). Its description in RNAcentral is "sRNA Os05g0505075". Lineage: Eukaryota; Viridiplantae; Streptophyta; Magnoliopsida; Poales; Poaceae. The record is from RNAcentral.
UAUAUGAUUUGACAUGUAGCAAAGUGGUAGCGCUGCGGCGGUCGUGAUCACCUUAUGCCUCAAACACGACGCUUUGUCACGGGUGCAAAAGGCAAAUGUGCAUACGUGCAUUGUGCAGUGGGCCAAAAAGGGAACUUUGGAUGCUUUAUUUAUUAGCAAAUAAUAGAUCUGAUGAUUUAAAUAAUGUCCACUGGUUUUAGUGUAAGUGUAAAUUAGUUGAUAUAGAUUUUAAAUUGUUAAUUUAAUAGGUACACAAUAUAAUGUCGUAGACUUUAUUUUGAAACAAUGCAUUAUUUGAGAAUGAUAGUCCAAUGUAAUAAAAAAUAGAUCCAAUGAUUUAAAUAAUGGGUUCAUCGGUUUAAGUGCACGUAUAAAUUAGUUAAUAUAGAUCUUAAAUUAUUUAUUUGAUAGGUACACAAUAUAAUUGUGUAAACUUUAUUUUAAAAUAGUGUAUUAUUUGAAAAUAAUAGUACAAAGUAAUGAGUACGACGGUUUAAUUAAGUGGAAAUUAUCUUACUCCCUCCGGUUUCAUUCUAAUUGAAGUUUUGGAUAAUAACACGGUCUACAAAAUAUAUGUUUGACCUUAUUUUUCUAUUAUAAUAUAUACGAUAAAUAAAUAUAUGUCUUUAUUAUAAUAUAUAAGAUAAAUAAAUAUAUGUUUACUUUUAUUAUAGUGCUUUGAGAGACAAAUCUAUAUAUGUUGUUCUAGUUCCUUUAAACUAAAUAUUUUUAAAGUUAUUGAUAGUCAAAGUUAUAAAAGUUUGACCUCAACCUUGUCCAAAAGGUCAAUUAUUAUAGAACUGGAGGGGGUACAUUAUUAAUUUAAUGGGUAACAUAUAAUGGUGUAAAUUUUAUUUUCAAUAACUGUAGAGCUAAUUAGUUACAUGUGAGUUGUUUGACGGUUGAUUCUUUGUUAGUAAAAUUAUGAUUAUUUAAAAAAUAUAUAUCCAUUAUAUAAAUGGAAAAGGAAGAAAAAAAAGAAGGGAUGGAAUGUACGUACAUAUACCUACACAUGCGCGGAGAAGAGGAGAGGUGGGACCCCAUAGUAUUUGGUUUGUUUAUUUUUAGAAUUUCUAUGAUUUUCUCUAAUUUAUUAGAGCGUCAUGUGGCGGCUUGAGAGCAUUUGUAGGAAGUUUAAUGGACUUUUAGUAUACCUACACAUGCCUGGGAGAGAGGAGAGGUGGGACCCCAUAGUAUUUUGUUUGCUUAUUCUUAGAAUUUCUAGGAUUUUCUCUAAUUUAUUAGAGUAUCACGUGGCGGCUUGAGAGCAUUUGUAGAAAAUUUAAUGAACUUUUAGUAUAUAAUAGAUAGAUAGAUAGAUAUAUUUUAUUUUUUUAAAAAAUAUAGGAAAUCCUGUCGAUUUUCUUUCCAAUGAUGGUAUUACGUACAUAUGUUUCUUUGACUUUAUUUUCUUCUGUAUAUCGUAUAAGAACAUGUAUAUGGUUUUUUUUUUCUUGCGGCACAGUAGGCCAGCUUUAUUUUUUUUCCUUUGAAUCGUACUUAGUACAAACAGUUAUAUAUUUCUUGUGUGGGAGGAAGGUAUUAUGUUUUUAAUAAUAGAUCUAAUCUAAUGGUGCCACGUGGUGGUCUAGGAGUGUUUGUAGGAGUGCCACAUGGCGGCUUGACAGCGUUUGUAGGAAGUUUAAUGGACUUUUAGUAUAUAAUAGAAGAUUGUUAUUGUAAAAAAACUUAAUUAAUUACUAUAAAUAAAAUAGAAUGUACCAAUACUUAUGAUCCCACCUAUAAUGGUUAGUUGAGCAAUAUACGUUGCUCUUACCCUAAAGCUGGUAACUAUCCAAGUUCAAACCCAUUGAUCAAAUUUACCGAUGGAAAAUUGGGUUUUUUCAAAAUCUUUUUUCGUUACCAUUAUUUUGUGUUGAAUGAUGAUUUGUGAUAACUAUUCAACGGUAUAGACAAACUAAUUAACUAUUGCACAGUUGAAUAAUGGUUUUAAAAUAAUUUUCUACGAAAUUUAUCUACAUAAAGUUUUUGUGAAAAUCUCACCGUUUAAGAGCUUUCAGGAAGCGUCAACAUUCCAUUCCAUUCCAUCGUUAAUUGUCUUUAGGAGUUAUCAAUAGAUAACACAUUUUAUAAGAAAAAUUCUUGUAAUUUCUAAAACCUCAGAACUAAUCCUAAUUACUCAGAGGAGCCAAACUUUUGUGUUUGAAAAAUAUAUGGUAAGAGAAUGUUCUAAAGGAUUCAGCAUCAGUUUAGCACACAUGUUUCUCGGGGUCCGUCUGACUUCAUGGCUCCACGGAACUCCACACCUUGUCUUGUUUAGAGAACAAUGGCAGGCUCACGACUAUGUUGAGCAUGUUGUUGGCGGUGGACAGCUAUCGCCCAACUAUGAUGGUAAGAGAAUGUUCUAAAGGAUUCAGCAUCAGUUUAGCACACAUGUUUCUCGGCGUCUGACUUCAUGGCUCCACGGAACUCCACACCUUGUCUUGUUUAGAGAACAAUGGCUGGCUCACGACUAUAUUGAGCAUGUUGUUGGCGGUGGACAGCUCUCGCCCAGCUAUGAUGCGCUAGCAAUACGGUGUAUUUCUCCUACCAUCAGCCGGGCAUCCCGUUGUUGUUGAAGCCUAUUAUACUUGUCCAACGACCAGAAAUAAGGAUUUUCGCAAUGUUCCGGUUGCCUCUUGCUAGCACGAGAUAACCAUUUGAGCUGGUCUGUAUCAACGUGCUUCAACUCUAGUUCUCGAUGCAUCCUAUUCUUAUGUAGAUCUUGUCUCGCUCGCUACCAAUCACCUCCUCCCGGCAUCCUAUCCUCUUAGCAAGCACUAAAUUUUUUGGGAUGAAUGGAAUGUCCAAGCUUUGAUAUACAGUUUUUGUGUGCUAAUUUAGUAUAUAUGCAGUAUCAUUGAAUUACAAACAUAUAUGCUCAACUCUUGUUUCCCCUUGCGUUCACAAAUCUCACGCUAGCAAACAUAUG